CCCGCGCUCCUCCGGGCAGAGCGCGUGUGGCGGCCGAGCACAUGGGCCCGCGGGCCGGGCGGGCUCGGGGCGGCCGGGACGAGGAGGGGCGACGACGAGCUGCGAGCAAAGAUGUGCCCCGGGACCCCCGGCACCUUCCAGUGGAUUUCCUUGCGGAAAGGAUGUUGGCGGUCCCUGUGACCUGUGGAGACACGGCCAGAUCUGCCCUCCAGCCUGAUCUUUUGGCCAGAAGGAGAUUAAAAAGAUGCCCCUCAAGAUGGCUGUGCCUGUCAGCUGCAUGGAGCUUCGUUCAAGUAUUUUCUGAGCCUGAUGGAUUUACAGUGAUCUUCAGUGGUCUGGGGAAUAACGCUGGUGGAACCAUGCACUGGAAUGACACACGCCCGGCACAUUUCAGGAUACUAAAAGUGGUUUUAAGGGAGGCUGUGGCUGAAUGCCUCAUGGAUUCUUACAGCUUGGAUGUCCAUGGGGGACGAAGGACUGCAGCUGGCUGAGAGGGUUGAGAUCUCUGUUUACUUAGAUCUCUGCCAACUUCCUUUGGGUCUCCCUAUGGAAUGUAAGACCCCGACUCUUCCUGGUGAAGCAUCUGAUGCACGUUCCAUCCGGCGCUCAGCUGGGCUUGAGCUGACCAUACUCCCUGGAGCCUUCUCCCGAGGUGCGCGGGUGACCUUGGCACAUACAGCCAUCAUGAUGGUACUUUAAGUGGAGGCUGAAUCAUCUCCCCUUUGAGCUGCUUGGCACGUGGCUCCCUUGGUGUUCCCCUUUUACUGCCAGGACACUGAGAUUUGGAGAGAAUCCUGUUACACCUGGGAUUUAGGCACUUUCAAUCUGAAAAAAUACAUAUCCUUUCAGCACUCUGGACGGACUUGAGAACUGUCCUUACGUGACCUAAAGCUGGAGUAUUUUGAGAUUGGAGAAUUAAGGCCAACAGAGAUUUUGAGAAACACAUUGAAGGAUCUGUUAACACUUGAUAUACCCAAUAAAAGCAGUGGUUGUGCCAGUGCUGAUCUGUCUUGAUGUGAAUGUGAACAAUGGGAACCUGAGCUGAGCAGUUAAUGCUAGGGUGACAGAAACUGGACCUCUCCCAAGACAUGUGACAGAGUAAUACAGCAGCCAACUUCUUCGCCAAAUUAAAGUUUUACAAGAUUUAACCUGUCAUCAAGACCUGGGAUUUUGGUGAGCCAGUCUUGGUGCUCUGUGUUCACCUGGUUCAUCUGAGGAGCUGCAUCUACCCUGCCCAUGCCAUAGAUCCUGCCCUGUUUGCUUCUCCUGUUGCUGCUAGUGGACAUGAGGCUUGCUGGGGACACAUACGUCAUGCCCUGAAGCGUUCCGGAACCGGUAGGGGCUGCCUGUCCUGCCACUCACCCACUCCAGCUAGGAACUCCUCAGUGGGCAAGAUAAUUGAGCCCAGGUUGAAUUAUGACGUUCACAGAAGGACAGAAUAACGGGCUCCCAGAUUCACAAGCCCCACCAAGAGGAUCACCCCAGGAACGCUUGGAGGCUGAGGAGUUCACUGAGGCUACUGCAUCUUGAGACUCAGGAUGAAGACCCAGCUUGGGGCUGUCAAAGGUUUUUUGCAUGUCUGACACCCAUGACUCCACCUGGACCUUAUGGCUCCACCCAGAAGCAAUUCAGCCCAACAGGAGGACAGCUUCAACCCAUUACGAUUUCAUCUCUGCCCCAACCACUCAGCAGCAAGCACCUGUUACCUGUCCACCCCCACCCCUUCCCCCAAACUGCCUUUGAAAAAUCCCUAACCUAUGAGCUUUGAAUAAGAUGAGUACGAACUUCAUCGCCCACGUGGCGUGGCCGGCCUCGUGUCUAUUAAAUUCUUUUUCUACUACAA
This 1843-nucleotide long non-coding RNA is filed under the name Homo sapiens (human). RNAcentral describes it as "Pvt1 oncogene, transcript variant 48 (PVT1)". The stretch from base 34 to 211 matches the Rfam family "Pvt1 oncogene conserved region 1". Lineage: Eukaryota; Metazoa; Chordata; Mammalia; Primates; Hominidae. The record is from RNAcentral.